GACCUCAUAUCAGACAAGA
This 19-nucleotide ribosomal RNA is filed under the name Hydra vulgaris (swiftwater hydra). RNAcentral's name for it is "partial 28S ribosomal RNA". The record is from RNAcentral. Lineage: Eukaryota; Metazoa; Cnidaria; Hydrozoa; Anthoathecata; Hydridae.